AUUUUUCUUCUUUCAACUGCCUUUUAGAUAUGUGUUCUUUGUUAAAAUGUCAUUUUUUUCUCUAAAGAUUUCUGUUGAGGCAAAUGUUUGCUUUGCUUUUUAAGAAAGAGUAACUUAGGGAAUCUCAUCUCACCUUUUAGGUUGUUAUGGAGUAUAAUUUCAACAACAGUACAUCUAAUUAUAAAUACUUUUGUCUUUAUUUAGCCAAGACUUUAUUUAGCCAAGAUAUUUUUAAAUAUCGCAGCCAAAUAUCAGGUAUAUGUAGUUACAAGCAGUUUGAUUUAAUUUUUGUGUGCAAGUAUUGCUUCUGAAUAAAACACAAAUGUUUAUGUCAGAUGAAGGUAAAUUCAUUGAAAUUAGCUAGAUAUGACUGUAUCCAGAAAGCAGUCUACUUUUCUUCGUCUUUGCUAAUUCACAGAGUUGGGCGUAUAGCUCUGUUUCACAGGUUUUUCCGCUGUUUCUUCUAAUAAUUCCUUUUCUUCUUCUGGUUUACAUGGUUUUCAGCUAUUUCUUUUUAGAAUCCUCUCAUUUUUCUUGGGAGUACUUGUGAACAUUAGGGGUUGUAUUUCUUUCAGCUUCUAGCUGAAAGCUCUCAUCCUCACUUUUUACCAUUUCCUCCUUUUUUAGUUCCGGUAUCAGCCUAUAGUUUUAAAACCUCACCCCUUUUUUAACUGGGCAGCAGCUGUAUCCAAUUCUUUAUUGUUUGUGCAACAGAUGCAAGUGACUUUUUAUAAUCAGGUUGAAAAUUCAUAUUUAAUCAUCGCUUUUUGAACUUUUCAUGUAAAGAACAUUUCAAUAUUUGAUUAACACAUUUUUCAGUUAUCACAUUUUAUUUUUAACAGAACCUUAGUUUUUCUUGCACAGAUACAGUUUGAUUAUAGUAACUUUUUCUUUUUAUACGAGGUAUAUGAAAAAUUUGAGGGCAAACCCCACUUUAAUGUGUUGCCAUAAUCAAGGAUUUCAAAAUCUACUUUGCAUAUCUUUGUAUACUUGAAUUAGUAUGGAAGCUUGAUAAAAAGAUGAGAUUUGAAGUACUCAACCUGUUAGGAAUAAGUAGUUUUAUUGUUGAUUUAAGCUGGUAGAUUGAAAUAUCUCAGAAUGUUAAAGAGGCAGAGCAGCAGGUUUCAGGUGAUUAAAGAAAAUCCCUCAUCUUGGAGGAACUUGAAGGAACAUGAUGCUAUUUAAGUAGAAUCUAAUCAGGAAGAAGAAAAGCUUGGAAGUAAAAAGACGGAAUGUUUCAUGUCGUUAUUUGCAAAGCAGCUGAACAAAAGUUGAGUACCAGAUGUAUGAGAACACGUGGACUGGAACAUGAUGAUGACCUUCUUUGCUCUGAAGUAUUCAUAUGGAGACGUCACUAUUGGAUGUGGAAUCUGAGCUUUGACACAUGGAGUGCUGCUGUUACUGCCCACUCAUGUAUACUGCUUUCAUUGCUGUAAUUUAUGAUUUUACUUUCUAACUCUGUAAG
Long non-coding RNA from Bubalus bubalis (water buffalo), 1465 nucleotides. RefSeq lists it as uncharacterized. Lineage: Eukaryota; Metazoa; Chordata; Mammalia; Artiodactyla; Bovidae. The transcript has 3 exons. The record is from RefSeq and is a predicted model, not a curated record.